This 547-nucleotide ribosomal RNA is filed under the name uncultured bacterium. RNAcentral's name for it is "bacterial SSU rRNA". It matches the Rfam family "Bacterial small subunit ribosomal RNA", at positions 777 to 1329 of the family's 1533-position model. The record is from RNAcentral.
AAUAGAUACCCAGGUAGUCCACGCCCUAAACGAUGCCCACUAGGUGUUGGGGAAGCGAUUCCUUGGUACCGUAGCUAACGCGUGAAGUGAGCCGCCUGGGGAGUACGGCCGCAAGGUUAAAACUCAAAGGAAUUGACGGGGACCCGCACAAGCGGCGGAUGAUGUGGAUUAAUUCGAUGCAACGCGAACAACCUUACCUACCCUUGACAUGUCCGGAAGCCUGCUGAAAGGCGGGGGUGCUCGAAAGAGAACCGGAACACAGGUGCUGCAUGGCUGUCGUCAGCUCGUGUCGUGAGAUGUUGGGUUAAGUCCCGCAACGAGCGCAACCCUUGUCCCUAGUUGCUACGCAAGGGCACUCUAGGGAGACUGCCGGUGACAAACCGGAGGAAGGUGGGGAUGACGUCAAGUCCUCAUGGCCCUUAUGGGUAGGGCUUCACACGUCAUACAAUGGACGGUACAGAGGGUUGCCAACCCGCGAGGGGGAGCCAAUCCCAGAAAGCCGUUCGUAGUCCGGAUCGCAGUCUGCAACUCGACUGCGUGAAGUCGG